AUGCUAGCCUAAACAGACAAUUACUUUACAAUUAUUUUUCGCCAGGGAACAACGAGCCUCAGCUUAAAACCCAAAGGACUUGGCGGUGCUUUAGACCCCCCUAGAGGAGCCUGUCCUAGAACCGAUAAUCCCCGUUUAACCCUCACCCCCUCUUGUCCUUUCCCGCCUGUAUACCGCCGUCUUCAGCUCACCCUGUAAAGGCCCAGUAGUGGACAAAAUUGGCACUGCCUAAAACGUCAGGUCGAGGUGCAGCUUAUGAGGGGGGAAGAGAUGGGCUACAUUUUCUGACCCAGCAAAUACGAAUUUUGCCCUGAAAAAGCAUCUGAAGGUGGAUUUAGUAGUAAGGAGAGAUCAGAGCGCUCUCCUGAAACCGGCACUGAAGCGCGCACACACCGCCCGU
RNAcentral lists this ribosomal RNA (400 nucleotides) under Gobiodon sp. A Munday 1999. RNAcentral's name for it is "partial 12S ribosomal RNA". The stretch from base 45 to 400 matches the Rfam family "Microsporidia small subunit ribosomal RNA", at positions 752 to 1199 of the family's 1311-position model. Lineage: Eukaryota; Metazoa; Chordata; Actinopteri; Gobiiformes; Gobiidae. The record is from RNAcentral.